This 442-nucleotide ribosomal RNA is filed under the name uncultured bacterium. Its description in RNAcentral is "bacterial SSU rRNA". It matches the Rfam family "Bacterial small subunit ribosomal RNA", at positions 339 to 796 of the family's 1533-position model. The record is from RNAcentral.
CUACGGGAGGCAGCAGUGGGGAAUAUUGCACAAUGGGCGAAAGCCUGAUGCAGCGACGCCGCGUGCGGGAUGACGGCCUUCGGGUUGUAAACCGCUGUCGGGGGGGACGAAGCUCUGACGGUACCCCCAAAGGAAGCACCGGCUAACUCUGUGCCAGCAGCCGCGGUAAUACAGAGGGUGCGAGCGUUGUUCGGAAUUACUGGGCGUAAAGGGCGCGUAGGCGGUUCGGUAAGUAGGGGGUGAAAUUCCACGGCUCAACCGUGGGACUGCCUUCUAGACUGCCGGACUUGAGCACGGUAGAGGCAGAUGGAAUUCCCGGUGUAGCGGUGGAAUGCGUAGAGAUCGGGAAGAACACCAGUGGCGAAGGCGGUCUGCUGGGCCGUUGCUGACGCUGAGGCGCGACAGCGUGGGGAGCAAACAGGAUUAGAUACCCGUGUAGUCC